This 382-nucleotide ribosomal RNA is filed under the name uncultured eukaryote. Its description in RNAcentral is "partial 18S ribosomal RNA". It matches the Rfam family "Eukaryotic small subunit ribosomal RNA", at positions 592 to 976 of the family's 1831-position model. The record is from RNAcentral.
UGUAAGCGUAUACCAAAGUUGUUGCAGUUAAAACGCUCGUAGUCGGAAUUUGGCAGUUCCGGAUGUGUGCACGUCGUGUGCGCACUUCGCGGGGAUUGCUUUUGUGGUCUUGCGUAGGAUGAGGCACUUUUAUUAGUGAACGUCCUCACGCAACCACUUUUUACUGUGAGAAAAUCAGAGUGCUCAAAGCAGGCAUUUGCCGUGAAUGUAUUAGCAUGGAAUAAUAGAAUAGGACUUGGUUCUAUUUUGUUGGUUUGUUGGGACUGAGUAAUGAUUAAGAGGGACAGUUGGGGGCGUUUGUACUUCGGUGCUAGAGGUGAAAUUCUUAGAUUACCGAAAGACAAACUGCUGCGAAAGCGUCUGCCAAGGAUGUUUUCAUUGA